Molecule: ribosomal RNA, 803 nt
Filed under: uncultured Bacillota bacterium
Lineage: Bacteria; Bacillati; Bacillota
Description: bacterial SSU rRNA
Rfam family: Bacterial small subunit ribosomal RNA
Source: RNAcentral
AAAGUUCCCUUCGGGGAGCGAGUAGAGUGGCGCACGGGUGAGUAACACGUAGGUAAUCUACCUUUGGAUUGGGAAUAACACCGAGAAAUCGGUGCUAAUACCGAAUAAUGCAGCGGCACCUAAUGGUGACAGUUGUUAAAGCGGGGGAUCGCAAGACCUCGCGUCUAAAGAGGAGCCUGCGGCGGAUUAGCUAGUUGGUAAGGUAACGGCUUACCAAGGCGAUGAUCCGUAGCCGGCCUGAGAGGGCGGUCGGCCACACUGACACUGACAUACGGGUCAGACUCCUACGGGAGGCAGCAGUCGGGAAUUUUGGGCAAUGGGCGAAAGCCUGACCCAGCAACGCCGCGUGAAGGAUGAAAUCCCUCGGGAUGUAAACUUCGCAAGAACGGGAAGAAUAAGCCGGUGCUAACACCAUCGGCGAUGACGGUACUGUUUGUAAGCUCCGGCUAACUCCGUGCCAGCAGCCGCGGUAAUACGGGGGGAGCAAGCGUUGUUCGGAUUUACUGGGCGUAAAGGGCGCGUAGGCGGCCACCGCAAGUCGACUGUGAAAUCUCCGGGCUUAACUCGGAAAGGUCAGCCGAUACUGCGGGGCUAGAGUGCAGAAGGGGCAACUGGAAUUCUCGGUGAAGCGGUGAAAUGCGUAGAUAUCGAGAGGAACACCUGCGGCGAAGGCGGGUUGCUGGGCUGACACUGACGCUGAUUGUGCGAAAGCUAGGGGAGCGAACGGGAUUAGAUACCCCGGUAGUCCUAGCCUUAAACGAUGAAUGCUUGGUGUCUGGGGUUUUAUAGUCCCCGGGUGCCGU